ACUCAUAGUGAUCACGGCUCAAGAGGAUCGGUAAAUGGUUAAGUGUUGCUUAUGCACUCUUUUUCCCUUGUCAAGUUUUGUCCCAAUGGGUUUUUUUGACAAGGUUUUUAAUGAGACUUAAGUAAUAUUUUCAAGCCCCUUUAUCAAUCCAAUUCCUGGUCCAAGGCCCACUCACCAAGCCUUGGCCCAUUUUCUCUUUUCUCUUUUUUUUUUUUUUUUU
RNAcentral lists this long non-coding RNA (220 nucleotides) under Capsella rubella. RNAcentral describes it as "long non-coding RNA (CRUB_LNC002131)". The record is from RNAcentral. Lineage: Eukaryota; Viridiplantae; Streptophyta; Magnoliopsida; Brassicales; Brassicaceae.